RNAcentral lists this long non-coding RNA (541 nucleotides) under Mytilus galloprovincialis (Mediterranean mussel). The record is from RNAcentral. Lineage: Eukaryota; Metazoa; Mollusca; Bivalvia; Mytilida; Mytilidae.
GCUGCCGUUGUCAUGGAAACGGCCAGAUGGCCUGGCAAUGGGGGAACGGGGUGACAUCUGCUAUUGCUCGCAAUGGCAAGUCUAGUUCUUAUUGUAUCUGGAAUAUUGACUUUACCACGAAAAAAUCAUUUAUUGGUCAUCAGUUUUUCCUGUUUUGUAUGUGUUGGUUUUCCUUUUAAAUUGUUUUACACUGGCAAUGCCUUGGCCAUUAUAGCUUGCUCUUUGGAGUGAGUCAAUACCUGUGUCAUAAAUUACAUAACUAUUACAUUGUCUUAUUGGCACUUAUAUCAAAUAUCAUUUUGUCUUAUGCUCUAGAUUUUUUUUUUGCCUAACUAAUAUUUCGAUUUGAGUCACUGAUAAGUGUUGAUUACACAAAACAGGUGUCUGGUUAACAUUAAAAGCCUGGUACGUUUGAUAUUAUUUAAAACAUUGAAUUUAUUGACUAAACAUUAAACAGUCAGGGGUACUACUUAAACAAGUGAUUUCAGGAUCACCUAUUAAAGUGAUUGCGCUAUUGAAAAAUGAAAAAUGUUUAUAAAAU